RNAcentral lists this ribosomal RNA (253 nucleotides) under uncultured bacterium. Its description in RNAcentral is "partial 16S ribosomal RNA". It matches the Rfam family "Bacterial small subunit ribosomal RNA", at positions 524 to 776 of the family's 1533-position model. The record is from RNAcentral.
GACGUAGGGCGCGAGCGUUGUCCGGAUUUAUUGGGCGUAAAGAGCUCGUAGGCGGCUUGUCGCGUCGAAUGUGAAAACCCACGGCUCAACUGUGGGCUUGCAUUCGAUACGGGCAGGCUAGAGUUCGGUAGGGGAGACUGGAAUUCCUGGUGUAGCGGUGAAAUGCGCAGAUAUCAGGAGGAACACCGGUGGCGAAGGCGGGUCUCUGGGCCGAUAUUGACGCUGAGGAGCGAAAGCGUGGGGAGCGAACAGG